AAGCUUUGCAGGGAGGGGUUAGAAAAAUGCAGGAAGAAUUAUAAGCAAUACAAGUUUAUUUAAUUACUUUGGAAACAAACAGUCCCCCCCCAAAUGAUGCCUGAACCUAAAAGGUACAUAAAAAUGACCAACAAUAUCUUAAAAUAAUAGAGCUGACAGUUAAUUGCAGUUUUCCCCUCAGAACAAGUGUGUGUUCAGCUGGACAGUAAAUUACAAACCAUAUCAAAUCAUGUUAAGGCAGAUGAUAAAUCUGGUUGCGUUUGUUAAUGACUGCCAGGAAAGUGAUGUGUGGGAGCUGGGUGUUCUUCCUCCCAGCAGUUUGGUCAGUUGGCCCACGAAGAGGCAGUCCUGGAGGCAGCCGGUAGAGACCAGGCCCUGCCUGUCUUGUCACUGCUCGUUCUGCUGACCCUCUGUGACGGAAGUGGACACAGAACCCUGGCCCUUGUUGACAUCACUGAUGCACACCCAUUGCCCGUCAACCGACUCCUUCCACAGGGUCACCUGCAAGCCAGCACACACAUCCUGUUACAGAAGAAGAACUAACAGCUAUUCACAGAGACAGACACACCACUGAACAAAUCCUACAACACAGAAGUGAGGCUGAAGUGUCCUGCACUAUGGACACUGAGACCGACUGCAUUAGAAGGAUCACAGCUGAAUCUGUGAGGCCCAGCUGCUGAGAAUUGGAUUGUGACCAGAGAGGACUUCCAACAACCAGCACUCAGAUCUCUCUGCAGCCUGAGUCCCUAGCUGCAGGGCCCAAGUGAGUUUGUUCUGACAGAGAAGCUGGGGCACAGGUAGGCUUCAGUCCAGACCACAAAGCAUUAGUAACCUUAAAGCUGCUUCCUUGGAAAGCACACCAGUUCAUAGCUGCACUUCCUACUGAAUACAGCCUUCGGACUGCCCAACCAGCGAAGCCACAUAGCCGGUCAACAACCCUGCUUAAGGUAACACAGGAAUAGAAAGCACAGCCGGUGGCAUUCACUGUCUGCAUAGCAAAUCUGGUGGCCUCACCUGACCAGGAAUUCGGUGCACACUCUUGACUCUUCAGCUCCCCCCGAAAUAAGCCAUGCAUUCUCUGGAUCCCAUCCUGCUGUGUGCUGCCAAGGCAAGGAAGGUAAUUCUAGCCUCACCUACUGCUGAGUCACGUAGCCAGUCCUGACUGUCUAGCAAGCCUGACCAGAGAAUCCAGGCAGCUGUGAAGCUGAUGCUCCAGCCUCACUGGUGCAGGGAGAGAAACCAGCUGUCCUGUCUACCUGAUCUCAGCCAGUGGCAUACUCAGAGUGGAAAAAAGUGCCUCAACCCAAAACAGAACUUAAUAGCAGGUCCUUUCAACCUAAGAACACUAAUACGAGAGAAAGCCAGAAACCCAAAUUGAGCUGACUAGUGAAGAACUGUAUCUGCACACUUCCAGAGGGACAAUGAAUUAUUCGAAAAAGAAAGAAAAGAAUUCAAAACGGCCCACUGUCAAGAAGCCCACUUGCAAUCUCUUGCAUUCCUAUAAACUAACAGUGAAAAAUCAGAAAGAGAAAUUAAGGAAACACUCCCAUUUACCACUCAAACAAACAGAAUAAAAUACCCAGGAAUAAACCUACCUAAGGAGGCAAAAGACUUGUAUGCAGAAAACUAUAAGACACUGAUGAAAGAAAUUUAAAGAUGAUACCAACAGAUGGAGAGGUAUACCCCGUUCUUGGAUUGGAAGAAUCAACAUUGUAAAAACGACUAUACUACCCAAAGCAAUCUACAGAUUCAGUGCAAUCCCUUUCAAAGUAAAGUACCAGUGGCAUUUUUCACAGAACUAGAACAAAAAACUUUGGAAACGCAAACGACCCCAAAUAGCCAAAGCAAUCUUGAGAAAGAAAAACAGAGCUGGAGGAAUCAGGUUCCCCAACUUCAAAGUAUACUACACAAAGCUACAGCAAGCAAGACAGUAUGGUACUGGCACAAAAACAGAAAUAUAGAUCAACUGUACAGGAUAGAAAGCCCAGAGAUAAACCCACGCACCCAUGGUCAACUAAUCUAUGACAAAGGAGGCAAGACGAUACAAUGGAGAACACACACCCUCUUCAAUAAGUGGUGCUGGGAAAACUGGACAGCUAUAUGUAAAAUAAGGAAAUUAGAACACUUCCUAACACCAUACACAAAAAUAAACUCAAAAUGGAUUAAAGACCUAAAUGUAAGACCAGACACUAUAAAACUCUUAGAGGAAAACAUAGGAAGAACACUCUUUGACAUAAAUCACAGCAAGAUCUUUUUGGAUCCACCUCCUAGAGUAAUGGAAAUAAAAACAAAAAUAAACAAUGGGACCUAAUGAAACUUAAGAUUUUGCAUAGCAAAUCACACCAUAAACAAGACAAAAAUACAACCCUCAGAAUGGGAGAAAAUAUUUGCAAAUGAAACAGACAAAAGAUUAAUCUCCAAAAUAUACAUGCAGCUCAAUAUCAAGAAAACAACCUAAUCGAAAUAUGGGUGCAAAAUCUAAAUACACAUUUUUCCAAAGAAGACAUACAGAAUGCCAAAAAACAAAAGAUGCUCAACAUCACUAAUCAUUAGAGAAAUCAAACCAAACUCCAACAAGGUAUCACCUCACACCUGUCAGAAUGGCCAUCAUCAAAAAGUCUGCAAACAAUAAAUGCUGGAGAGGCCGAGGAGAAAAGGGAACCCUCCUACACCACUGGGGGCAAUGUAAAUUUGUAGAGCCACUAUGGAGAACACUACAGAGGUUCCUUAAAACACCACAAAUAGAGCUACCAUAUGAUCCGGCAAGCCCACUGCUGGGCACACAUCUGCAGAUAACCAUACUUGGAAAGCCGACACUUGCACGUUCAUUGACUGCAGCAAGACCUACAACAGUCAAGGUUUGGAAGCAACCACAAUCUCCAUCCACAGGCGAAUGGAGAGAGAACAUGUGGUACAUAUAUACAAUGGAAUGAACACUCAGGCAUAAAAAAAAUGAAAUAAUGCUAUUGGCAGCAAGGUGGACAGACCUAGAGAUUAUACUAAGUGAAGCAAGUCAGACAGAGAAGAACAGAUAUCAUAUGAUUUCACGAAGAGGUGGAAUCUAAAAAUUGAUAGGCGUGAACUAAUGUACAAAACAGAAACGGACGCACGGACAUAGAAAAGGAACUUAGGGUUACCAAGGGGGAAAGCAUGGGGGGAGGAACAAAUGCUGUGGUUGGGAUUAACCUGUACACACUAAUAUUUAUAAAAUGGAUAAUCAACAAGGACCUUCUGUGGAGCAUAAGGAACUCUACUCAACAAUCUGUCAUAACCAAUAAGGGAACAGAAUCUGAGAACAGAUCUAUGUAUCUGCAUAACUGAAACACGUCACUGUACACCAGAAACAAAAACAACACUAAAUUUACAACACUCCAAACUAAAAUCAGAAGUAAAAAUAAAAUACAAUAAAAUCAAAAGAGAAAGAAAUGCCUCCUCUAUUCCGUGUUGGCUUAGGGAACCUGGGCUACUGUCACUCCCCUGGAGCCUGGGCAGCCAGUAACACAAGGCUAGAGUGUUCUGGGCCUGAGGGAGCUGGGGAGGAUGUACCAGCAAAUGAGCCCCCCUUGGACCUGGAGUGUCUGGUCCCUGGGGAUGUCACCACAAUCUCCAGAUCCAGGCAGACCCUCCCGCAGCUGAAGCCAACAUUGUGCACCCAGAGGAUGGUGGACCCUCUGGCCGGGAAGAGCUCUGAAUAGUCUCCUAGUCUCCAUGUCUGCUGGUGGUGGCCUUCCCACCUUCAGCUGCCUUCAUUAGGGUCACCCCACCCAUGUAGGACAGCACCCUCAGCAUUGGGGUUUUGCAGGGGUUAGGACCUGUCUGGGAGGGGGGCAAUGAAGUAAUGAGAUACAAGCCCUUGGGUGUUUGUGCUGACACAUUCCACUAAUUCACAACCCAGGAACACGACUUCCCCUUAGGCUGUACAUGCAGGUGUAACCAGAGUUGGGCAUGAAGAAAUCAUGCCACCUUUUGGCCAUUUACAGUAACAACAACUUUAAAGCAGGUGCUCAGGGGAACUUCAUAUUCUCAAAGCCUGUGAGCCUGUAAAGACACCUGCCGUCACGAAAUGCCCAGGAGCAGGUAAUAGGAAAGGAAUUCAAAACAGGGCCCAGUUUUAAGAGGCCAAUUUCCAGAGGUACAUUUUACUCAUAGUGUUAAAAAGAGAGGCACAUGAAAAGAUGCUGAACAUUCCUAAAUAUUAGAGAAUUGGAAAUCAAAACUGCAAGGAGGCACCACUUCACACCACUCAAAAUGCCAUGAACAAAAAGUGUACAAACAAUAAAUGUAGCAGAGGGCAUGGAGGAAAGGGAGCCCUCCUAUGUUUUUGGUGAGACUGCAGUCUGGUAAUAACUACUAUGGAGAAAAGAAUGGCGGUUCCUCAAACAGUAAACACACAGCUACCAUAUGAUUCAGCAGUCCCACUCGUUGCCACACACGUAGAUAAAAGUAUAACUGGAAAAUGUACGUGCACCCCUAUGUUCAUAGCAGCACUAUUUAGAAUAGGCAAGACAUGGAAACAACCUAAAUGUCCACUGACAGAAGAAUGGGUAAAGAA
Molecule: long non-coding RNA, 4552 nt
Organism: Balaenoptera ricei (Rice's whale)
Lineage: Eukaryota; Metazoa; Chordata; Mammalia; Artiodactyla; Balaenopteridae
Exons: 3
Source: RefSeq, a predicted model, not a curated record